GAUGAACGCUAGCGGCAGGCCUAACACAUGCAAGUCGAGGGGUAGAGGGUGCUUGCACCCUUGAGACCGGCGCACGGGUGCGUAACGCGUAUGCAACCUACCUAUUGCAGGGGAAUAGCCCAGGGAAACUUGGAUUAAUGCCCCAUAGUCCAUAUUGAGAGCAUUUGAGAUAUGGUAAAGAUUCAUCGGCAAUAGAUGGGCAUGCGUCCCAUUAGCUAGUUGGUAUGGUAACGGCAUACCAAGGCUACGAUGGGUAGGGGCCCUGAGAGGGGGAUCCCCCACACUGGUACUGAGACACGGACCAGACUCCUACGGGAGGCAGCAGUGAGGAAUAUUGGACAAUGGGCGGGAGCCUGAUCCAGCCAUGCCGCGUGCAGGAAGACUGCCCUAUGGGUUGUAAACUGCUUUUUUACGGGAAGAAACACCCCCACGUGUGGGGGCUUGACGGUACCGUACGAAUAAGGACCGGCUAACUCCGUGCCAGCAGCCGCGGUAAUACGGAGGGUCCGAGCGUUAUCCGGAAUCAUUGGGUUUAAAGGGUCCGUAGGCGGGCGUCUAAGUCAGUGGUGAAAUCUCGCGGCUCAACCGUGAAAUUGCCAUUGAUACUGGUCGCCUUGAAUUAGUGUGAAGUGGCUAGAAUAUGUAAUGUAGCCGGNGAAAUGCUUANAUAUUACAUANAAUACCGAUUGCNAAGGCAGGGCACUAACACUAUAUUGACGCUGAUGGACNAAAGCCUGGGGGAGCGNAACAGGAAUUANAUACCCU
Molecule: ribosomal RNA, 765 nt
Filed under: bacterium Km4
Lineage: Bacteria; Pseudomonadati; Bacteroidota
Description: bacterial SSU rRNA
Rfam family: Bacterial small subunit ribosomal RNA
Source: RNAcentral